CUUGCGGAAGGAUCAUUACCGAGUGAGGGCCCUCUGGGUCCAACCUCCCACCCGUGUUUAUUAUACCUUGUUGCUUCGGCGGGCCCGCCUCACGGCCGCCGGGGGGCACCUGCCCCCGGGCCCGCGCCCGCCGAAGACACCAUUGAACUCUGUCUGAAGAUUGCAGUCUGAGCAGAUUAGCUAAAUCAGUUAAAACUUUCAACAACGGAUCUCUUGGUUCCGGCAUCGAUGAAGAACGCAGCGAAAUGCGAUAAGUAAUGUGAAUUGCAGAAUUCAGUGAAUCAUCGAGUCUUUGAACGCACAUUGCGCCCCCUGGUAUUCCGGGGGGCAUGCCUGUCCGAGCGUCAUUGCUGCCCUCAAGCACGGCUUGUGUGUUGGGCUUCGCCCCCCGGCUUCCGGGGGGCGGGCCCGAAAGGCAGCGGCGGCACCGCGUCCGGUCCUCGAGCGUAUGGGGCUUUGUCACCCGCUCUGUAGGCCCGGCCGGCGCCCGCCGGCGACCCCAAUCAAUCUUUCCAGGUUGACCUCGGAUCAGGUAGGGAUACCCGCUGAACUUAAGCAUAUCAAUAAGCGGAGGAA
This 576-nucleotide ribosomal RNA is filed under the name Penicillium simplicissimum. RNAcentral describes it as "eukaryotic LSU rRNA". The stretch from base 194 to 347 matches the Rfam family "5.8S ribosomal RNA". The record is from RNAcentral. Lineage: Eukaryota; Fungi; Ascomycota; Eurotiomycetes; Eurotiales; Aspergillaceae.